This is a non-coding RNA of Pelobates cultripes (western spadefoot toad), 993 nucleotides long. The record is from the annotation of a GenBank genome assembly. Lineage: Eukaryota; Metazoa; Chordata; Amphibia; Anura; Pelobatidae.
GUGCAUGCUGAUCAUAAUAAAAAAAAAAUAUUAGUGAUGUGGUAAUUAUAUUAAUAUUCCUUAUUUGUAUCCUUCAGGCUAGAUGAAGCCAACCUUUACUUGUUGUGUGAUCACCUGUCCUGGACUGGCCACUUAGCCCAUCAGGUAAUUGCUCAGUGGAGUUUAAAGGGACACUAAAGUCAAACAUUCAAACAGCAAUGUUUACUUUGAAGGGUUACACUGGCUUUCGCUGCAACGACUGAGCAAAACAUGGUCAUAUGAAAUUGUAGCCCCCAACCAUUGAUUCAGGUCUUCAGUGCUCCUCUACAAAAAGUAUUGAAAUGGACCAUGUUGGAGGAGACCAUGCCUCCUCCAUGACAUCGUGGAAGAAGAAGAGGUAGGCAGAGCUGAGUAUUUUUUAAUAGCUGUAUUUUUUAAUUGCCGUGGCCCCCCAGGUAUACUGGUGAGCUGAGGCUUCAGCUCCCAAUGUAUUUAAUUGAAAUAGAGACAAGACGACCCUGGACCAAUACUGGACCUCAGCUACUGCCCACAUACUGGAAGCUAGCGUGUAUAUAAAUAUACACUGAAAGCCAGGAGCUCAUUAAAAUAUUGCUGUGUGCUGUGUGUGAUCACAGAGUAUCAGUGCAACAAGAAGCAUUACAUAUAUAUAUAUAUAUAUAUAUAUUGUGGACUGAGAGGCAGCUGGUUUUAAAUAUUUAGUAGAUAUUCCCCCCUUAUAGGAAUAUGGAGGUCUUAUUGUCCCUCAUAGGUUUAUUUAUUUACUUUAAUGUGACAGCUGGCUAGCAAGCUCUGGCCAGCCGCUACGUAUUUAACCACAUAUUUGCAUUGCAGAGGGGUUUAAUCUAUUGGCCACCUGGUUGCUAACACUGCCAGCAGACAAUUAGCUUGGAUUUUUUAAAAUCUGGGCUCCGAUUUGAAGUAUUUGUGUCUGGCUCUAAGUCAAUCUGAAAUCUAGACCUAAUUCAUUCUGAGCCUGAAUUGCAAAACCCAGAC